GACUGCAGCAGCUGGUCUCACGCACACGGAGCGCGCGGCGAGGGGGCCCCCGGCCAAACCGUUACCACCCAUAUUAUACAAACAGUUCUCGGCCGGAACCUUGUUGCCAGGGGAGACGGGCGCUUUACGGCAGGACGUUUGAACGGCGGCGAGGGAAAAGUUGCUGCCGCAGGGCGAGGAGGAGACCUCCGGAAGCGAGCGGUGCUGCUCCCAGCGUGUGCAAGAUCGGCCCUUGCCGUGUUUUCAUCAGUGAUACUGUAUGAAGAGGUAUAAAAUUGCACACGAUAAAAAUUAAUGAGAGGAGAGAGCCCUUUUUAUAGACAAUAGUAUUUAGUAAACAGCCAGCCCCUAUGUCAUUUGGAUUUAAUAAACAUUUAAUGUAUUAAAAAUGAAAGUAUUAAAUCCUUAUUUACCAUCAAA
Long non-coding RNA from Rhea pennata, 420 nucleotides. RefSeq lists it as uncharacterized. The record is from RefSeq and is a predicted model, not a curated record. The transcript is spliced from 3 exons. Lineage: Eukaryota; Metazoa; Chordata; Aves; Rheiformes; Rheidae.